GUGUAUGUUUUUGAGAUAGUUAUGACUUUUAAAAAAGUUAUUAGCAAUAGCUUCACAAGAAACCUGCUAGCAGGGAUAACAAAGUUGUCAGUAAAUUUAAAAUGCUACAAACUUUAAAAAUUACAAGAGUACAUGGAGUUUAUUUUUAUAAGAUCUUUGUGAACUAUUCACAGAAAUGGCCACUUAAUUAUCUUUACAAUGUAACAGAAGAGUGUGACCACUUUAUACUGGGAGUCUAAAAAGAUUAACAGAACAUUCUUAGUUACUGGAUUGGCCAAAUUACUGGAAUAAUGUUUCCUUUUUUUC
RNAcentral lists this long non-coding RNA (306 nucleotides) under Bos taurus (domestic cattle). RNAcentral describes it as "long non-coding RNA NONBTAT006165". The record is from RNAcentral. Lineage: Eukaryota; Metazoa; Chordata; Mammalia; Artiodactyla; Bovidae.